Molecule: ribosomal RNA, 837 nt
Filed under: uncultured archaeon
Lineage: Archaea
Description: bacterial SSU rRNA
Rfam family: Archaeal small subunit ribosomal RNA
Source: RNAcentral
GGUUACUGCUAUCGGUGUUCGCUUAAGCCAUGCGAGUCAUAUGUUCUUCGGAACAUGGCGUACUGCUCAGUAACACGUGGAUAACCUGCCCUUGGGUCCGGCAUAACCCCGGGAAACUGGGGAUAAUACCGGAUAACGCAUAUAUGCUGGAAUUCUUUAUGCGUGAAAUGGAUUCGUCUGCCCAAGGAUGGGUCUGCAGCCUAUCAGGUAGUAGUGGGUGUAAUGUACCUACUAGCCGACGACGGGUACGGGUUGUGAGAGCAAGAGCCCGGAGAUGGAUUCUGAGACAUGAAUCCAGGCCCUACGGGGCGCAGCAGGCGCGAAAACUUUACAAUGCGGGAAACCGUGAUAAGGGGACACCGAGUGCCAGCAUCAUAUGCUGGCUGUCCGGGUGUGUAAAAUACACCUGUUAGCAAGGGCCGGGCAAGACCGGUGCCAGCCGCCGCGGUAACACCGGCGGCCCGAGUGGUGAUCGUGAUUAUUGGGCCUAAAGGGUCCGUAGCCGGCUUGGUCAGUCCUCCGGGAAAUCUGACGGCUUAACCGUUAGGCUUUCGGGGGAUACUGCCAGACUUGGAACCGGGAGAGGUAAGAGGUACUACAGGGGUAGGAGUGAAAUCUUGUAAUCCCUGUGGGACCACCUGUGGCGAAGGCGUCUUACCAGAACGGGUUCGACGGUGAGGGACGAAAGCUGGGGGCACGAACCGGAUUAGAUACCCGGGUAGUCCCAGCCGUAAACGAUGCUCGCUAGGUGUCAGGCAUGGCGCGACCGUGUCUGGUGCCACAGGGAAGCCGUGAAGCGAGCCACCUGGGAAGUACGGCCGCAAGGCUGAAACUUAA